UAGGGAAUCUUCGGCAAUGGGGGCAACCCUGACCGAGCAACGCCGCGUGAGUGAAGAAGGUUUUCGGAUCGUAAAGCUCUGUUGUAAGAGAAGAACGUGUGUGAGAGUGGAAAGUUCACACAGUGACGGUAACUUACCAGAAAGGGACGGCUAACUACGUACACG
RNAcentral lists this ribosomal RNA (165 nucleotides) under uncultured bacterium. Its description in RNAcentral is "partial 16S rRNA". It matches the Rfam family "Bacterial small subunit ribosomal RNA", at positions 355 to 511 of the family's 1533-position model. The record is from RNAcentral.